This 1467-nucleotide ribosomal RNA is filed under the name uncultured organism. Its description in RNAcentral is "SSU rRNA". It matches the Rfam family "Bacterial small subunit ribosomal RNA". The record is from RNAcentral.
CGGCGUGCCUAAUACAUGCAAGUAGAACGCUGAAGAGAGGAGCUUGCUCUUCUUGGAUGAGUUGCGAACGGGUGAGUAACGCGUAGGUAACCUGCCUUGUAGCGGGGGAUAACUAUUGGAAACGAUAGCUAAUACCGCAUAACAAUGGAUGACCCAUGUCAUUUAUUUGAAAGGGGCAAAUGCUCCACUACAAGAUGGACCUGCGUUGUAUUAGCUAGUAGGUGAGGUAACGGCUCACCUAGGCGACGAUACAUAGCCGACCUGAGAGGGUGAUCGGCCACACUGGGACUGAGACACGGCCCAGACUCCUACGGGAGGCAGCAGUAGGGAAUCUUCGGCAAUGGGGGCAACCCUGACCGAGCAACGCCGCGUGAGUGAAGAAGGUUUUCGGAUCGUAAAGCUCUGUUGUAAGUCAAGAACGAGUGUGAGAGUGGAAAGUUCACACUGUGACGGUAGCUUACCAGAAAGGGACGGCUAACUACGUGCCAGCAGCCGCGGUAAUACGUAGGUCCCGAGCGUUGUCCGGAUUUAUUGGGCGUAAAGCGAGCGCAGGCGGUUUGAUAAGUCUGAAGUUAAAGGCUGUGGCUCAACCAUAGUUCGCUUUGGAAACUGUCAAACUUGAGUGCAGAAGGGGAGAGUGGAAUUCCAUGUGUAGCGGUGAAAUGCGUAGAUAUAUGGAGGAACACCGGUGGCGAAAGCGGCUCUCUGGUCUGUAACUGACGCUGAGGCUCGAAAGCGUGGGGAGCGAACAGGAUUAGAUACCCUGGUAGUCCACGCCGUAAACGAUGAGUGCUAGGUGUUGGAUCCUUUCCGGGAUUCAGUGCCGCAGCUAACGCAUUAAGCACUCCGCCUGGGGAGUACGACCGCAAGGUUGAAACUCAAAGGAAUUGACGGGGGCCCGCACAAGCGGUGGAGCAUGUGGUUUAAUUCGAAGCAACGCGAAGAACCUUACCAGGUCUUGACAUCCCGAUGCUAUUUCUAGAGAUAGAAAGUUACUUCGGUACAUCGGUGACAGGUGGUGCAUGGUUGUCGUCAGCUCGUGUCGUGAGAUGUUGGGUUAAGUCCCGCAACGAGCGCAACCCCUAUUGUUAGUUGCCAUCAUUCAGUUGGGCACUCUAGCGAGACUGCCGGUAAUAAACCGGAGGAAGGUGGGGAUGACGUCAAAUCAUCAUGCCCCUUAUGACCUGGGCUACACACGUGCUACAAUGGUUGGUACAACGAGUUGCGAGUCGGUGACGGCAAGCUAAUCUCUUAAAGCCAAUCUCAGUUCGGAUUGUAGGCUGCAACUCGCCUACAUGAAGUCGGAAUCGCUAGUAAUCGCGGAUCAGCACGCCGCGGUGAAUACGUUCCCGGGCCUUGUACACACCGCCCGUCACACCACGAGAGUUUGUAACACCCGAAGUCGGUGAGGUAACCUUUUGGAGCCAGCCGCCUAAGGUGGGAUAGAUGAUUGGGGUGAAGUCAUAA